CUCAUUAGAACAUAGGUCUUUAUUUGUACUAUUUUCAACACGUUGUAGAAUAAUAGUGAAGACAUCAAAACUAAAAAGUAUGGAAUCAUGCAAGAACCAAAAGGAUGUUGAGCAAUAGCUUUCAUAUUAUAGAUUAGCCCACCCUUGAGGAAAGCUUUGCACCCUCUUGGCAUUCUUUCAACCAAAAUCAUGAGGUAGUCACCUGGAAUGCCUUUCCAGCACACUUGAAGGAGUUUCCACAUAUGCUGAGCACUUGUUGACUGCUUUUCCAUCAGCCCACAAGUACAAACGCACUUACCCAUUCAAGUGAAUUGUUAAAGGUGUCCACACUUUUGACUGGUAUUCUAUAUACACGUCUUCUUCCACUGCGCCAAGGCCAAAUCGUUUUUGCCAGAUGACUGGGUCAGAGCGGUUUCAAUUUGCAAGCCAUCUGACGGCAGAACACAUGACCAGACUCUUGCUUGCAACCAUACAGACGUACAUAGGCACCCAGUCACUCAGUGUUCAAAUCUACACAUCAUUGACAAUUAUAGUGCAGAUAAUAUGUUCUACUGUUUUAGAGGCAAAAUCAUUUGCUUCUAAAAGGGUUUUGGUGUCAAUGAAUUGGCACAAAUAUUGAGGCUCCUAUUUACUCACCAUAAAUGCCUCAUUUGCUACUGUUAUUGACGUUAGCACAGUAUACAAAACCACAAUUCUAAUAACAAAGACCUCAACAAUUUGAAGACACUAAAAAGUACAUCUGUGUUGGAUGGCAUAGUUUAAAGAAGCCAUUUAAAAUAUUUCCACCAUACAAACGCAGAACAUUGCUAAUCAUAAUGAAAAGGGUAUUGGGGAAAUAUGUUAAAAGUAUUUCACUAAUAGUUAGUUUUUGAUGGUGUACUCACACUCCUACAGUGCCCACAAUAGUUACUGAACAGGAAAGGCUACAUACAAAUGUAAUUGUUGUUUGUCAGCUUGAUCUUACACUCCAAAGAAACUACAUGAAUCUAACCUUAAAUCAAGUGAAAAUUGUUCAAAGAAAAAAACUACUGUCAUGAAGAAAUAAUUGUUUCAUUCAAGAACACCAUGUGUCACCAGGUUCUCCUCCCUCCUCCAGGCUGUUGGGUAUGGCAGUAUGGGUUCUCCUCCCUCCUCCAGGCUGUAGGGUAUGGCAGUAUGGGUUCUCCUCCCUCCUCCAGGCUGUAGGGUAUGGCAGUAUGGGUUCUCCUCCCUCCUCCAGGCUGUAGGGUAUGGCAGUAUGGGUUCUCCUCCCUCCUCCAGGCUGUAGGGUAUGGCAGUAUGGGUUCUCCUUCUUCCUCCAGGCUGUUGGGUAUGGCAGUAUGGGUUCUCCUCCCUCCUCCAGGCUGUCUUUGUACACCCAGCUCCCGAGCAGUUGGGUAUGGCAGCAUGGGUUCUCCUUCUUCUCUCCCAAUCUGCUCUCAUAAUUAGAUAAAUGGAGUCCACAUUUGUGCAAUUAAGGUGUAGCUCCAACCAUAAGGACUCAGUGUUUAUUUGACUUCAGAAAAAUAAAACGUUGACAUCCCCACUAAUUUGUAUGUAGCACUGGCUGUCUAGGAAGAUAAGCCUGUUCCCUGGGCUUUGUACUUUCAGAAUAUGUAAUUUACUCGCAGAUCCUACUCUUAACAGAAUGUGAUAAUGUCAAGCUGUUUCCCGUGCAAGACAAACCUGAUAGGCCUAUGGGAAUUAAUUGGUUCACACCGUCUGGUUACCUCCAUAGACUAUUAGCUAGCGGUGGCUAAAGUGAGCUGGAGUUUGUAAUGGCUGUUCACAGUGAACUGAAACAUUUAUUGUAGUUUCUCUUGGCCAAUAGAAAAUGUAGGGAGUGGUUAAUAAACGUCCAGGGGUUGGCCUAGAGUGGUCAAACGGCCUAAGCCUCUGUCUCCAGUGCACCUGUACAGAGCAGCUUGGGUUCGACUUUGGCAGAAAAAAGUCUAUCCUCUCACUUUCCCGGCUAUCCCUGAAACAAAGCAGUGCCUUGCAAGAUUAUUCAGACCCCUGACUAAUUCUCUCAUAUUACUGAAUCACAAAUGGCAAAAUGCAAUGCUUUUCUGUUUUGUAUUUUCAAACGCUGACACUCAAAAUCAGCAUUUGUACGGUAACAUUGGUUCAUGUGGGAAAAUAUCUUUCAAAAAAAU
This is a long non-coding RNA of Esox lucius (northern pike), 2135 nucleotides long. Lineage: Eukaryota; Metazoa; Chordata; Actinopteri; Esociformes; Esocidae. The record is from Ensembl.